CAGCCGCCGCGGUAAUACAGAGGGUGCGAGCGUUAAUCGGAUUUACUGGGCGUAAAGCGUGCGUAGGCGGCUUCUUAAGUCGGAUGUGAAAUCCCUGAGCUUAACUUAGGAAUUGCAUUCGAUACUGGGAAGCUAGAGUAUGGGAGAGGAUGGUAGAAUUCCAGGUGUAGCGGUGAAAUGCGUAGAGAUCUGGAGGAAUACCGAUGGCGAAGGCAGCCAUCUGGCCUAAUACUUACGCUGAGGUACGAAAGCAUGGGGAGCAAACAGGAUUAGAUACCCCUUAGUCCCUGUCUCUUAUACA
Molecule: ribosomal RNA, 301 nt
Filed under: uncultured bacterium
Lineage: Bacteria
Description: partial 16S ribosomal RNA
Rfam family: Bacterial small subunit ribosomal RNA
Source: RNAcentral